CCCUACGGGGUGCAGCAGGCGCGAAAACUUUACAAUGCAGGAAACUGUGAUAAGGGAACCCCGAGUGCCCGUAUAUGCGGGCUGUCCAGGUGUUUAAAAAGCAUCUGAAGAAAGGGCCGGGCAAGACCGGUGCCAGCCGCCGCGGUAAUACCGGCGGCUCGAGUGGUGGCCACUAUUAUUGGGCUUAAAGCGUCCGUAGCUGGAUUGAUAAGUCUCCUGGGAAAUCCGCCGGCUUAACCGGUGGGCGUCCGGGAGAUACUGUUAAUCUAGGGACCGGGAGAGGUGAGAGGUACUCCGGGGGUAGGAGUGAAAUCCUGUAAUCCCCGGGGGACCACCUGUGGCGAAGGCGUCUCACCAGAACGGCUCCGACAGUGAGGGACGAAGGCUGGGGGAGCAAACCGGAUUAGAUACCCGGGUAGUCCCAGCCGUAAACGAUGCGCGUUAGGUGUACCGGUGACCACGAGUUACCGGGGUGCCGAAGGGAAACCGUGAAACGUGCCGCCUGGGAAGUACGGUCGCAAGGCUGAAACUUAAAGGAAUUGGCGGGGGAGCACCACAACGGGUGGAGCCUGCGGUUUAAUUGGACUCAACGCCGGAAAUCUCACCGGAUAAGACAGCGGAAUGAUAGCCUGGCUGAAGACCUUGCUUGACCAGCUGAGAGGAGGUGCAUGGCCGUCGUCAGUUCGUACUGUGAAGCAUCCUGUUUAGUCAGGCAACGAGCGAGACCCACGCCAACAGUUGCUAGCAUAUUCUCCGGAAUGAUGAGGACACUGUUGGGACCGCCUCUGCUAAAGAGGANGAAGGAAUGGGCAACGGUAGGUCAGUAUGCCCCGAAUUAUCCGGGCUACACGCGGGCUACAAUGGUCGGGACNAUGAGUAACGACNUCGAAAGGUGUAGUCAAUCUCCUAAGCCCGUCCCNAGUUCGNAUUGUG
This 933-nucleotide ribosomal RNA is filed under the name methanogenic archaeon enrichment culture clone Napk-0_20-enr74. RNAcentral's name for it is "bacterial SSU rRNA". It matches the Rfam family "Archaeal small subunit ribosomal RNA", at positions 321 to 1258 of the family's 1478-position model. The record is from RNAcentral.